AUUGAACGCUGGCGGCAGGCCUAACACAUGCAAGUCGAAUGGUAACAGGAAACAGCUUGCUGUUUCGCUGACGAGUGGCGGACGGGUGAGUAAUGUCUGGGAAACUGCCUGAUGGAGGGGGAUAACUACUGGAAACGGUAGCUAAUACCGCAUAACGUCGCAAGACCAAAGAGGGGGACCUUCGGGCCUCUUGCCAUCAGAUGUGCCCAGAUGGGAUUAGCUAGUAGGUGGGGUAACGGCUCACCUAGGCGACGAUCCCUAGCUGGUCUGAGAGGAUGACCAGCCACACUGGAACUGAGACACGGUCCAGACUCCUACGGGAGGCAGCAGUGGGGAAUAUUGCACAAUGGGCGCAAGCCUGAUGCAGCCAUGCCGCGUGUAUGAAGAAGGCCUUCGGGUUGUAAAGUACUUUCAGCGGGGAGGAAGGGAGUAAAGUUAAUACCUUUGCUCAUUGACGUGACCCGCAGAAGAAGCACCGGCUAACUCCGU
Molecule: ribosomal RNA, 489 nt
Filed under: uncultured bacterium
Lineage: Bacteria
Description: partial 16S ribosomal RNA
Rfam family: Bacterial small subunit ribosomal RNA
Source: RNAcentral